This 253-nucleotide ribosomal RNA is filed under the name uncultured bacterium. RNAcentral describes it as "partial 16S ribosomal RNA". It matches the Rfam family "Bacterial small subunit ribosomal RNA", at positions 524 to 776 of the family's 1533-position model. The record is from RNAcentral.
UACGUAGGGAGCAAGCGUUGUCCGGAUUCACUGGGUGUAAAGGGUGCGCAGGCGGAUUUGUAAGUCAGAGGUGAAAUCUCACGGCUUAACCGUGAAACUGCCUUUGAUACUGCAGAUCUUGAGUUUGGGAGAGGUUGAUGGAAUUCCAGGUGUAGCGGUGAAAUGCGCAGAUAUCAGGAGGAACACCAAUUGCGAAGGCAGCUCGCUGGGACGUUACUGACGCUGAGACGCGAAAGCGUGGGGAGCAAACAGG